UAAUACGUAGGGUGCGAGCGUUAAUCGGAAUUACUGGGCGUAAAGCGUGCGCAGGCGGUUUUGUAAGACAGAGGUGAAAUCCCCGGGCUCAACCUGGGAACUGCCUUUGUGACUGCAAGGCUGGAGUGCGGCAGAGGGGGAUGGAAUUCCGCGUGUAGCAGUGAAAUGCGUAGAUAUGCGGAGGAACACCGAUGGCGAAGGCAAUCCCCUGGGCCUACACUGACGCUCAUGCACGAAAGCGUGGGGAGCAAACAGGAUUAGAUACCCUGGUAGUCCACGCCCUAAACGAUGUCAACUGGUUGUUGGGUCUUAAUUGACUCAGUAACGAAGCUAACGCGUG
RNAcentral lists this ribosomal RNA (340 nucleotides) under uncultured beta proteobacterium. RNAcentral's name for it is "bacterial SSU rRNA". It matches the Rfam family "Bacterial small subunit ribosomal RNA", at positions 521 to 861 of the family's 1533-position model. Lineage: Bacteria; Pseudomonadati; Pseudomonadota; Betaproteobacteria. The record is from RNAcentral.